RNAcentral lists this RNase P RNA (438 nucleotides) under Candidatus Giovannonibacteria bacterium RIFCSPHIGHO2_02_FULL_46_20. Its description in RNAcentral is "RNase P RNA component class A". It matches the Rfam family "Bacterial RNase P class A". From Rfam's summary of the family: Ribonuclease P (RNase P) is a ubiquitous endoribonuclease, found in archaea, bacteria and eukarya as well as chloroplasts and mitochondria. Its best characterised activity is the generation of mature 5'-ends of tRNAs by cleaving the 5'-leader elements of precursor-tRNAs. The record is from RNAcentral. Lineage: Bacteria; Candidatus Giovannoniibacteriota.
GUUCUUUGCUAGGCAGUCGCCCAGUUGCUCAUCAGCGACGGGGAGGAAAGUCCGAACACCGUCCGCCACAAUGCGCAAGCCUUAGGCGAGACAGAGGCAGUGGCUAACAGCCACGCUUGUAUCGAGAAAUCGGUAUGAGACGGAAAGUGUCACAGAGACCAAACCGCCAAUCAUCACCAUCAAUUCCCUAAAAGAAUUGUGCGUGAAAGAGGCAAGGGUGAAAAGAGGUGGUGUAAGAGACCACAGCGCGCGUUGGCAACAGCGCGCGGAGAAAAACACCUGCCCGGUGCAAGUCCGCACUCUAUCCGCCAACAGGUGGAUCAGAGGGAGAUGCUUGAGCCCAAGAGCAAUCGAGGGCCCAGAUAGAUGGCUGCCCUCAGCGCCAUUUUGCAAAAAAUAACGCUGGGACAGAAUUCGGCUUAUCGGCAAAGAACACAA